This 605-nucleotide long non-coding RNA is filed under the name Panax ginseng (ginseng). RNAcentral describes it as "long non-coding RNA (PGIN_LNC009650)". The record is from RNAcentral. Lineage: Eukaryota; Viridiplantae; Streptophyta; Magnoliopsida; Apiales; Araliaceae.
AGAAUUGUUGGAGCAGUUGCCUGCUUUACAGCAACCGCUGUAUCGUCUUACAGGAUGUCAGGUAUUUUCUUGUGAAACUCAGGACUUUUAUAUCUUCUUACAGGAUGUUCCUCAAAGUACCUAAUUUUUGUUAAGUUAUAUGGUGUCUUGAGUCUAUUUUUGACUGGCUUUUGGUAUACGAAAAUUUGCAUGUGUUUACAGUCUGUUAUGAUUGUGACAUUAUUGUUGGUCUCUAAAUAGAGUUCACUUUUAUAGGAAGCCCGUCUCUCUGGUGCUUCAAUUUUAGCUUACAACCCAUUUUACACUGGCAGGUGGUGUACAGGUUUACAGUUCAGUGAUAUGGAUCUUUUUCUAUUAUUUUCUGUUACAGGUUUUUUAUGGAUAGUUUAACUAGGUAGUAGUUUAAUUUUAUGGAUAGUUUGGUAUAUUUUGUGGAUGUAGUCAAAUUAACAAUUCAAUAUAGUAGUAAUUAUAUUGAAAAGUGAAUUUGAGAUGUAUGGAUAGUUUGACAUUAUUGAGAUGUAAACGUAUUGUAUGGUAUUAAUAUUCUUUGUAAUUGGCAUUACAAAGAAUUAUUGGGAUGUAAACGUAUUGUAUGGUAUUAG